Molecule: ribosomal RNA, 468 nt
Filed under: uncultured bacterium
Lineage: Bacteria
Description: partial 16S ribosomal RNA
Rfam family: Bacterial small subunit ribosomal RNA
Source: RNAcentral
GACGAACGCUGGCGGCGUGCUUAACACAUGCAAGUCGAACGGAAAGGCCCUGCUUUUGUGGGGUGCUCGAGUGGCGAACGGGUGAGUAACACGUGAGUAACCUGCCCUUGACUUUGGGAUAACUUCAGGAAACUGGGGCUAAUACCGGAUAGGAGCUCCUGCUGCAUGGUGGGGGUUGGAAAGUUUCGGCGGUUGGGGAUGGACUCGCGGCUUAUGAGCUUGUUGGUGGGGUAGUGGCUUACCAAGGCUUUGACGGGUAGCCGGCCUGAGAGGGUGACCGGCCACAUUGGGACUGAGAUACGGCCCAGACUCCUACGGGAGGCAGAAGUGGGGAAUAUUGCACAAUGGGCGGAAGCCUGAUGCAGCAACGCCGCGUGCGGGAUGACGGCCUUCGGGUUGUAAACCGCUUUCGCCUGUGACGAAGCGUGAGUGACGGUAAUGGGUAAAGAAGCACCGGCUAACUACGUG